UACGGGGGGGGGCAAGCGUUGUUCGGGAAUUACUGGGCGUAAAGGGUGCGUUAGGGCGGCUUUCUAAGUCGGAUGUGAAAACUCUGGGCUCAACCCAGAGCCUGCAUCCGAAACUGGAGAGCUAGGGUUCUGGAGGGGAAAGCGGAAUUCCUGGUGUAGCGGUGAAAGUACGUAGAUAUCAGGAGGAACACCGGUGGCGA
This 200-nucleotide ribosomal RNA is filed under the name uncultured bacterium. Its description in RNAcentral is "partial 16S ribosomal RNA". It matches the Rfam family "Bacterial small subunit ribosomal RNA", at positions 524 to 718 of the family's 1533-position model. The record is from RNAcentral.